GACGUAGGAUGCAAGCGUUGUCCGGAAUUAUUGGGCGUAAAGAGUUCGUAGGCGGUUGCUUAAGUCUGAUGUUAAAUCCUGGAGCUCAACUCCAGCAUGGCAUUGGAAACUGGGCAGCUAGAGUGUGGUAGAGGUAUCGGGAAUUCCUGGUGUAGCGGUGAAAUGCGUAGAUAUCAGGAGGAACACCGGUGGCGAAAGCGCGAUACUGGGCCAUAACUGACGCUAAGGAACGAAAGCUAGGGUAGCAAAAGGG
Molecule: ribosomal RNA, 253 nt
Filed under: uncultured bacterium
Lineage: Bacteria
Description: partial 16S ribosomal RNA
Rfam family: Bacterial small subunit ribosomal RNA
Source: RNAcentral